RNAcentral lists this ribosomal RNA (799 nucleotides) under uncultured marine cercozoan. RNAcentral's name for it is "SSU rRNA". It matches the Rfam family "Eukaryotic small subunit ribosomal RNA", at positions 440 to 1240 of the family's 1831-position model. Lineage: Eukaryota; Cercozoa. The record is from RNAcentral.
AUUACCCAAUUCUGACACAGAGAGGUAGUGACAAAAAAUAACAAUACCUGGCUUUUCUAAGUCGGGAAUUGGAAUGAGUACAAUUUAAAUCCCUUAACGAGGAUCAAUUGGAGGGCAAGUCUGGUGCCAGCAGCCGCGGUAAUUCCAGCUCCAAGAGCGUAUAUUAAAGUUGUUGCAGUUAAAAAGCUCGUAGUUGGAUUUCUGGUACAACGCGCCUGGCCCGCAGUUACUGUGAGUGCCGGUGCGCGUUUGCCAUCCUUCUAGAAAACGUUUCUACCCGGGCAACUGGGCCGGAUUCGCGAUCUAGAUCUUUUACUUUGAAAAAAUUAGAGUGUUUAAAGCAGGCAAUUGCUGUGAAUACAUUAGCAUGGAAUAAUAAUCUAGGACUUCGGUUCUAUUUUGUUGGUCUCUAGUACUGAAGUAAUGAUUGAUAGGGAUAGUUGGGGGUGCUAGUAUUGGCCGGCCAGAGGUGAAAUUCUUGGAUUCGGUCAAGACUAACUUAUGCGAAAGCAUUCACCAAGGAUGUCUUCUUUAAUCAAGAACGAAAGUUGGGGGAUCGAAGACGAUCAGAUACCGUCGUAGUCUCAACCAUAAACUAUGCCAACUAGGGAUGGGUGAACGUUGUUUUUUUGACUUCAUCUGCACCUUAUGAGAAAUCAAAGUCUUUGGGUUCCGGGGGGAGUAUGGUCGCAAGGCUGAAACUUAAAGGAAUUGACGGAAGGGCACCACCAGGAGUGGAGCCUGCGGCUUAAUUUGACUCAACACGGGAAAACUUACCAGGUCCGGACAUAGUGAGGAU